ACUAAGGAGUUAACCUUAUAUAUAAGUAUUUAGGUGUUAAACCCCUAUAUGUAAUAAAAGUAAACGUAGGUAAGAGCUUUAGUGUAUUAUUAACCGAUCCUAAUAUUCUUAGAUGGAUUUAAGUAAGAGUAUAUAGGGUUAGACCUAAAAGAAGGUGAACUAUAUGUAUAUAGGGUGAAGCUAGAGGAAACUUUAGUAGAGGCUUAUAGCGGUUUUAAUAUAUAAAUCGAUUAUUAAAUAUACGUAUAGGGGCAAAAGACUAAUUAAACCUUUUAGUAGCUAGUUUCUAUUAAAGUUUCCCUUAGGAUAGCAGUAUUAAACUUAGUUUUAUAAGGUAAAGCGAAUAAUUAGGGACUUAGGGGCGCUAUAUUACCUUUAUCCAUUCUUAAACUUUAAAUAUAUAAGAAGCCCUUAUUACUUAAUUAAACGUAGGUAUUCAAAUGUAUUAACACUCGUGGGCCAUUUUUGGUAAGCAGAACUGGCGAUGCGGGAUGAACCGACUUUAUAACCCUUUAAUUCCUCUAGCUUGCUUUCUGUUACGGCCAGCCUUCUAAUAGUAAGGGGUCUAAUAGUAGAAGCUGAGGUUUAACCCUAAACUGAUUCUUACUAGUACGCUGCGUUAGU
RNAcentral lists this non-coding RNA (624 nucleotides) under Colletotrichum chlorophyti. RNAcentral's name for it is "Eukaryotic large subunit ribosomal RNA". It matches the Rfam family "Eukaryotic large subunit ribosomal RNA", at positions 665 to 1386 of the family's 3401-position model. Lineage: Eukaryota; Fungi; Ascomycota; Sordariomycetes; Glomerellales; Glomerellaceae. The record is from Rfam by way of RNAcentral.